Molecule: ribosomal RNA, 253 nt
Filed under: uncultured bacterium
Lineage: Bacteria
Description: partial 16S ribosomal RNA
Rfam family: Bacterial small subunit ribosomal RNA
Source: RNAcentral
GCAAGUCGAGGGGUAACAGGGAAAAGCUUGCUUUUCCGCUGACGACCGGCGCACGGGUGCGUAACACGUAUGCAACCUACCUCUUACUGAGGAAUAGCCCAGAGAAAUUUGGAUUAAUACCUCAUAGUAUCACCAGUUCGCAUGUUCAGGUGAUUAAAGGUUACGGUAAGAGAUGGGCAUGCGCCCCAUUAGCUAGUUGGUGAGGUAAUAGCUCACCAAGGCAACGAUGGGUAGGGGGCCUGAGAGGGUGGUC